RNAcentral lists this ribosomal RNA (449 nucleotides) under uncultured bacterium. RNAcentral's name for it is "partial 16S ribosomal RNA". It matches the Rfam family "Bacterial small subunit ribosomal RNA", at positions 29 to 523 of the family's 1533-position model. The record is from RNAcentral.
AACGAACGCUGGCGGCAGGCCUAACACAUGCAAGUCGAACGCUCCAGCAAUGGAGAGUGGCAGACGGGUGAGUAACGCGUGGGAACCUACCCUUUGGUUCGGAAUAGCCCAGGGAAACUUGGGGUAAUACCGGAUAAGCCCUUCGGGGGAAAGAUUUAUCGCCAAUGGAUGGGCCCGCGUCGGAUUAGCUAGUUGGUGGGGUAACGGCCCACCAAGGCGACGAUCCGUAGCUGGUCUGAGAGGAUGAUCAACCACACUGGGACUGAGACACGGCCCAGACGCCUACGGGAGGCAGCAGUGGGGAAUAUUGGACAAUGGGCGCAAGCCUGAUCCAGCCAUGCCGCGUGAGUGACGAAGGUCUUCGGAUUGUAAAGCUCUUUUGGCGGGGAAGAUAAUGACGGUACCCGCAGAAUAAGCCCCGGCUAACUUCGUGCCAGCCGCCGCCGUAA